This 515-nucleotide ribosomal RNA is filed under the name bacterium enrichment culture clone ALO1_GLFRUDD03FLF1E. RNAcentral describes it as "bacterial SSU rRNA". It matches the Rfam family "Bacterial small subunit ribosomal RNA", at positions 9 to 514 of the family's 1533-position model. The record is from RNAcentral.
GAGUUUGAUCUUGGCUCAGAUUGAACGCUGGCGGCAGGCCUAACACAUGCCAAGUCGAGCGGAUGACGGGAGCUUGCUCCUUGAUUCAGCGGCGGACGGGUGAGUAAUGCCUAGGAAUCUGCCUGGUAGUGGGGGACAACGUUUCGAAAGGAACGCUAAUACCGCAUACGUCCUACGGGAGAAAGCAGGGGACCUUCGGGCCUUGCGCUAUCAGAUGAGCCUAGGUCGGAUUAGCUAGUUGGUGGGGUAAUGGCUCACCAAGGCGACGAUCCGUAACUGGUCUGAGAGGAUGAUCAGUCACACUGGAACUGAGACACGGUCCAGACUCCUACGGGAGGCAGCAGUGGGGAAUAUUGGACAAUGGGCGAAAGCCUGAUCCAGCCAUGCCGCGUGUGUGAAGAAGGUCUUCGGAUUGUAAAAGCACUUUAAGUUGGGAGGAAGGGCAGUAAGUUAAUACCUUGCUGUUUUUGACGUUUACCGACAGAAUAAGCACCGGCUAAACUCUGUGCCAGCCG